GGAAUUGUAGCUCAGUGGUAGAGCAUCUGCUUCACAUGCAGAACAUACCAGGUUCUAUGCCCAGGAGUUUUA
Molecule: non-coding RNA, 72 nt
Organism: Podarcis lilfordi (Lilford's wall lizard)
Lineage: Eukaryota; Metazoa; Chordata; Lepidosauria; Squamata; Lacertidae
Source: the annotation of a GenBank genome assembly